This 460-nucleotide ribosomal RNA is filed under the name uncultured bacterium. RNAcentral describes it as "partial 16S ribosomal RNA". It matches the Rfam family "Bacterial small subunit ribosomal RNA", at positions 338 to 795 of the family's 1533-position model. The record is from RNAcentral.
CCUACGGGGGUCAGCAGUGAGGAAUAUUGGUCAAUGGACGAGAGUCUGAACCAGCCAAGUAGCGUGAAGGAUGACUGCCCUAUGGUUUGUAAACUUCUUUUAUAUGGGAAUAAAAUGUUCCACGUGUGUGAUUUUGUAUGUACCAUAUGAAUAAGGAUCGGCUAACUCCGUGCCAGCAGCCGCGGUAAUACGGAGGAUCCGAGCGUUAUCCGGAUUUAUUGGGUUUAAAGGGAGCGUAGGUGGAUUGUUAAGUCAGUUGUGAAAGUUUGCGGCUCAACCGUAAAAUUGCAGUUGAAACUGGCAGUCUUGAGUACAGGAGAGGUGGGCGGAAUGCGUGGUGUAGCGGUGAAAUGCUUAGAUAUCACGAAGAACUCCGAUUGCGAAGGCAGUUCACUGGACUGCAACUGACACUGAGGCUCGAAAGUGUGGGUAUCAAACAGGAUUAGAUACCCUUGUAGUC